UUCCGUAGGUGAACCUGCGGAGGGAUCAUUACCGAGUUUACAACUCCCAAACCCAAUGUGAACCAUACCAAACUGUUGCCUCGGCGGGGUCACGCCCCGGGUGCGUCGCAGCCCCGGAACCAGGCGCCCGCCGGAGGGACCAACCAAACUCUUUCUGUAGUCCCCUCGCGGACGUUAUUUCUUACAGCUCUGAGCAAAAAUUCAAAAUGAAUCAAAACUUUCAACAACGGAUCUCUUGGUUCUGGCAUCGAUGAAGAACGCAGCGAAAUGCGAUAAGUAAUGUGAAUUGCAGAAUUCAGUGAAUCAUCGAAUCUUUGAACGCACAUUGCGCCCGCCAGUAUUCUGGCGGGCAUGCCUGUCCGAGCGUCAUUUCAACCCUCGAACCCCUCCGGGGGUCCGGCGUUGGGGAUCGGGAACCCCUAAGACGGGAUCCCGGCCCCGAAAUACAGUGGCGGUCUCGCCGCAGCCUCUCAUGCGCAGUAGUUUGCACAACUCGCACCGGGAGCGCGGCGCGUCCACGUCCGUAAAACACCCAACUUCUGAAAUGUUGACCUCGGAUCAGGUAGGAAUACCCGCUGAACUUAAGCAUAUCAAUAA
This 597-nucleotide ribosomal RNA is filed under the name Trichoderma koningiopsis. Its description in RNAcentral is "eukaryotic LSU rRNA". The stretch from base 216 to 369 matches the Rfam family "5.8S ribosomal RNA". Lineage: Eukaryota; Fungi; Ascomycota; Sordariomycetes; Hypocreales; Hypocreaceae. The record is from RNAcentral.